Molecule: ribosomal RNA, 440 nt
Filed under: uncultured bacterium
Lineage: Bacteria
Description: bacterial SSU rRNA
Rfam family: Bacterial small subunit ribosomal RNA
Source: RNAcentral
CCUACGGGAGGCAGCAGUCGGGAAUUUUGCGCAAUGGACGAAAGUCUGACGCAGCAACGCCGCGUGAGGGAUGAAGGCCUUCGGGUUGUAAACCUCUUUUGUCAGGGACGAUAGUGACGGUACCUGACGAAUAAGCCACGGCUAACUACGUGCCAGCAGCCGCGGUAAUACGUAGGUGGCAAGCGUUGUCCGGAUUUACUGGGCGUAAAGAGCGCGCAGGCGGUCGUUCAAGUCGAGUGUGAAAGCCCCCGGCUCAACUGGGGAGGGUCAUUCGAUACUGAUCGACUCGAAGGCAGGAGAGGGAAGCGGAAUUCCCGGUGUAGUGGUGAAAUGCGUAGAUAUCGGGAGGAACACCAGUGGCGAAGGCGGCUUCCUGGCCUGUUCUUGACGCUGAGGCGCGAAAGCUAGGGUAGCAAACGGGAUUAGAUACCCUGGUAGUC